UUAAGCUACAAAGGGCUUACGGUGGAUGCCUUGGCAGUCAAUCGA
RNAcentral lists this ribosomal RNA (45 nucleotides) under Bdellovibrio sp. TY. RNAcentral describes it as "partial 23S ribosomal RNA". The record is from RNAcentral. Lineage: Bacteria; Pseudomonadati; Bdellovibrionota; Bdellovibrionia; Bdellovibrionales; Pseudobdellovibrionaceae.